Molecule: long non-coding RNA, 7254 nt
Organism: Chinchilla lanigera (long-tailed chinchilla)
Lineage: Eukaryota; Metazoa; Chordata; Mammalia; Rodentia; Chinchillidae
Exons: 4
Source: RefSeq, a predicted model, not a curated record
CUCGCGAAGGGGAGGGCAGCGUCUCGGGCACCCUGGGGCGGGGUGCCCUCGGGCUCACCCUGUUGGGCACAGCCAGGAUGACAAGAUCCUCCCUGCCAGGCCCCACCGCGGCCCACCGGUCUUAAGCACCAGCAGGUGCAGCGCGUCGUCCUGCAGGUAGGAGGCGGCGGCGAUCUCAUGCGUAGGGAUGCGCAGGAUGAGCUCCUCGUUGUCGCGCCAGAUCCUCACCCUGGCCUUGUCCAGCAGCUGCAGGAGCUCGUCACGGCUCGAGGGGUUCAGAGAGGAAGUCACCCAGGUGAGGUGGCCCAGGAACUGGAUGAGAAAUGAAUGAGUGAAGGACACAGUCACCCUGAAGCUGUGGAGGAUCCUGGUGUCCUGACUGACGAAAGACUCUUCAAAAGACCUCCCCUAGGAACCAGUGGUCUAGAAGCAUUAACCAGGAUAUACGUGGCUGUAACAAAAACCCAAAUAACAGUGGCCUUAAACAUGACAGAAGUUUACCUUUUCUUCACAUAAUAGUUGAGGUAUGCACAGGCCAGAACAGGUGUGGCAGCUCCAUACGUCACCACCCAAGUGUUUCCUAUCUUGCUGCACUACCAUAUGUGGGUUCCUCCCUGUGUACUACCAGCAGCAACCAAGGACCUGGGAAUGUCCCACUCCCUUGUGUUUUCCACAUAGCUUCCUUCAGCCAGUAGAGACCUUCACGCCCCUUCCUUAAAGGGAAGACAGGAAGUACCCUAGCACAAAGUUCUAUUGCUCAUAUCUCAUUGGUCAGACCUUGCCUAGCUGCAAAGGAGGCUGGGAAAUGUAGUCUUUCAUCCUAGUGGCCAUAUGCCUUGCUAAAAGUUCCUUACAGAAGGAAGGGAAGCAUAGCUACAGCACAUACUUGGCAGUCAUUGCCUCACUGGCAUCAGGUCACCUGCCCCUACCCCUCGAAUACCUGGUCUGGGGAAUUAUCUUAGAUCAAUGAUUCACAUACUUGGGCAUGCAUCAUAGUCACUUGGAAGACUUAUCAAAAACAGAUUGCCACUCAUUCAUUGGCUGAUUCAGUCGGUCUGGGUUGGGGCCUGAUCGUCUGCAUUUCUAACAAGUUCCCCGGUGCUGCUGAUCUGGGGACCACAUUCUGAGAAUCAUUGUUUUAGAUCAAUUAUGAUUUUUUCCCUGAUGCCAGGUAAGGGUUAAGGUACCAUGUUCUGAGUACUUGGAAGGGGACCACUAGGAAGCCUGCAUGAAAGGAUGGUGAGAAAGACUGUUUGGUGGCAACCAGGAGAGUCUCAUGGAAUCAGGAAGAUGGGCUUGGAAAAGCUCAGUGGACCAGGUGGGACUCCUGGAGAUGAGGCUCAGGAGAUGUUAGGGGUCCAGUUUGUGAAAAGUUAGCAUCAGGGUUGACAUUUAUCCUGGAAGUGCUGAGCAGCCAUGGGGAAUUCUAAAGCAAGUGAACACCAUGAUCAGAUUGGUGUGAGGAUGCAUUAAAGGGAUGGUCCUAGGAAUGAGGUCUUUAGACUUCUUCACACCAACAUCUCCUGGAGACAUUUUGAAAUAGAGUCCCAGGGGCCAGGGAUAUAGCUCAGCGGCACAAGUGCCUGCCUGAAAUAGAGUCCCAGGCCUGUUCUAUCUACCCUCUGGUUAUGGAGAUGCAAAUCAGCAUUUUAAAAGAGCUCCCCUGUCCUCCAUAUAGUUCUGAUGCUUUUAGAAGCUUGAAGACUGCUGGGUUAGAGUGGGAACCCUAGAGGGAGGGACUUCUUAGAGGCAAGGCCCUCCAUAAAAUAAACUCCUGUUUUAUCUUUCUUGUUCAUGCAGCUGGCAUAUGUAAGGUUCUCAACACAUACUUGUUUUAGAGGAGUUGGGAAUUUUGUUCUGGGCCUUGAUUGUGUCAUGAACUCAUUCUUUGACCAUUGACAAGUAUGUUCUCACCCCUCACUUUCUUCUUUCCCCUUUUCUGUAAAAUGAGUUUGGAGAUCCCUAGACACGUUGGCCUGGGAUUCUUGAUGAUUGAUGGAGGUUCUGUCCAGUCAACAAGGAAGUUCUUUAAUGUCCUAACUCUCCCAGCCAAGUCUUUCUCACUGGAAGGAGCCACAGAGAUUAUGGCAAAAGGUAGCCUUCCUUCCCAUUCUUCCUUCACCCAACCCAGAACAGCCAAAACAAUAAGACACAAGCAGCACAUACUGAAAUGACUUUUAAUAUCUCAUGUUGCAGCAAAAUUAAAAAUAUACAAAAAGUUUGUGGAGUACAAAAGAGUCUUAGUACAGAAGCCGCAGCUUGGGGCCCCCUGCCCCUCCUGGGGGAAGCUCAGAAGGGCGAGUGGGGGUGAGGGGACUGGGAAUGGCACAGAUGUAGUAAAUAUCUAGAAGUGGGACUGGAACUAGGAAACAGAAGGAGCAGAGUGGGGUCAGUUAGGGAGGGAAGAAGGAACAUGGAGGGAAUCACCCAGAAUUGUGCUGAGAGAGGGAAAUCAGCCCCUCAGGCAUGGCUAGUCGUUCCUGGAGGAAAAUUGGGGCACGGGGAUCAGAGCUGGGGGGUGGUUGUGGUGGGACCCCCCCCCCAAGGACCUGGGUUCUGGUCCCACCCUGCCAUCAGCUUUCUGUGUGACCUUGGGCAGGCCACCUCUGGUCUCUGGACCUACUCUUCCAUGAAAUAGGAGCUGGACAACUAAACCACUGAUUCCCAAUGUGAGCUGCUAGAGGCUGCCUGAGGGUCUGUGGAGGCGGGAGUAGGUGGGCAUCCAAGAGUGCUUUUAAGAGUAAGCAACCCAAUAGGAUAUGGAAACUCCCCACCCUCAAGCUCUGGAAGCUCUUUUGAGGCCUUAGCAGCAUUUACUACAACCAGAGUCUCAGUAUGAGUUAAUGUGGCAGAAUGAAUCCUUCAUCGAGAAAGGAGGUCUGCUUGGGAGAAAAUACAGAUCUUCCAAAGCACAGGAUCAUUAGGUGUGAAAAGAGUAAGUGGAGACCCUGGGAAUGGUCCCUGCUCCUUCCUGCGGGGACAGGGGUUGUUUGCCUGAGGCCCCUUCAUGUUUGGGGGUUUAGCCCAAUGCAGACAGGCAAGAAGCAGGCAGGGAGGGGGUCAUGGUAGGUCCGUAUGGAUUCUGGGAUUUAGGGAACAGGAGGAUGGAGGAAUAAUUCUUUUCCCACCUGAUGCUGUCUUUACCCCCUCUUUGUCCCAAGGUCCCCUCCAUUCUGAGAUUAUUGCGGUGAUCCUGGGCCCCCACCCCUCCAGCCUGGCCUGGGAGGCCUUCAUGGCGAGUGUGCAUAGACUAAAGGCCAGGGUUACUGGGAAGAGGCCUGCUUUCUUGUCAAGAGAAGGUUAGAGGGAAAGAAGCCGAGAACAGGAAGUUCCCUGUGUUCCCCAGAGGGUUUGGUGUCAGGUGGGCUCUGGCAGCUCAACCAGGCCAGGCUUGGCUGGGCCUCCCUCUCCCAGUGUGUCCUGCUCCAGCCUUCCUCCUCUCCUUGCCCCCACCUGUAGCAACCAAGGGCCUGGGAAUGCCACAUCCCUUCCCAACCAGAAUGGCAGGUUGUAGUCCCCUCCCCAGCCUAGGGUCUCAGAAACCUCUUUGGCUGGAAAGAGGGACUGAGGCCCUUGCUCUGCGACUGUCUGUGUGGCUUGGCACUCACUCAGUCCCUUGCACUGAGAGGUCACAAAGCACUCCAGUAUGGAAACUGGCAGCUCUCCUGCACCUGUUCCCAGCUCAGGUGGCAGGGAAGCAGGUCCGAGGCCAGCACAACAUGGGGCAGUGGGUCCCACUUUCAGUUUUUAUCCUGUGCCUAGACUCCCCCUCACCUGAUGCAGGUUCCUCCUAACCAGAAGUGCCCCCACUCCAAAGCUCCCCCUCAAGCUGCACUGAGGCCUAGGUGGGCCUGCAGCCCUUAUUAGAGGAUGUUUCCCAAGCCAGAGUCCUUGUGGAUUCCCUGGACUCCUCCUCCUUUCCAGCUGAGGGAGGAGUGGGGUCUUCUUUCAGAGGGCCAGGUGGCAGGGGCAUAGAGUUAGACUGGUAAAGUCUCAGGGGAAGCAAAGGCCUCUGUCCCUCCAAAAGGUUUCCAGGCCCUGUGGGCCUCCCCAGAAUCAUCUCAAUAUUUUGAACUGAAGGUUUCAAACUAGUGACCCUGGAAAGAGUAUUUAGUUUGGCCAGCACAGUGUGUUUGUAAAAAUCUGGACUUAGUGCCAAUGGGUAGGGCAUAUACUAUCCUGUUUGCCAGGGGCCCCCCAUCCCAUUGGCACCUCCACUUCCCUAGUUUCAUUAUGUGCAGACACUUGACUUUGCGGGCCACACACCCGCCCCAGAGAACCUUCUCCCCAUACCCAGUGCCAGCCCAGGUGCCUCUAAGGGAAGGACCUAUAGAACUCUGGUCUUUAGGGAGCUUUGGGGCUGCCAGGCAAGCACCUUCCUGAACAUUCUCAGCCCCCUUGUCCUCACCCAGAGACCUGGACCUGCCAGCCCUCUGCUUUUCCAGCUCUCAAGGGUGACCCAGCUUCAGGGAGACAGAGGUGUCACAGGGAGCUUGCUGAGGGUAAGGCAGAUUUGGGGGAGGUACAAGAAUGAGGCAGAGGAGAGGAGGGGACUUGAGAAAGCCUCCCUUGUUGGGGACCCAUUGCUGGGGAGGAUGGAGGCCUAUGCUGCUGAGCUGGGGUGCCGGAUACAAGGCACAUGUUAUGUCAGUGCGUGGACAUGUGACAGGGGUGCUCGGUGCCUGGAGAGGUCAGGGACCCCAGUCAGCAGCCUACAGAGUCAGUUCAAGGGUGGGAGCUUGAGAAAGUAGGGAGACUGAAAUUUGCCCUGAGAAUAGGGACAGGUCUCUUAGGAUUAGGUACUAGAGCAGGGCCUCCUGCUGCUUUGGUACCAGAAUGUUUCCUCUUCUCUUCCUGGCAAAAUUAAGACAGACUUGAUCACCUCUCAUCCCCAGGAAAAUUCCAGCUCUGUUACUGACUUCCUGUGCAAUCUUGGGCAAGUGCCUGCCUCUUUCCAGGCCUCAGUUUCUCCUUUAUAAUGGAUGAGGAGGGCAGGUGGCUGAGGGGAUCCCUCUCUCACAGCAGGACUUUGUAGGGACUGUGGGGAGGACUGAGCAUCCAGGCUGGGGAGAUAGGGAAUGGGGGAUGGAGAACCCAAGGGGUUUAGUUCUGGCAGGGAAGACAGACAGGCUGAGGUAGAUUGUGUGACAGAGAGGAACAGGAAACAGCCCCAAGGGGAUGGGCCUUCCCUCACUCUGACUCCUCUAUGCCAAUGCAAGGAGACAGACCAGCAGAGAGGGGGACCUCAGGCCAAGAAGGAUGGAGUCCUGAAAUCCAGGGUCAGAAGGCUAAACUCUCUCCGGAGGCUAAGAAGCAGAAUGUGCCCACUGUCCUCUCCUCGGGCUCUUUGACCAUCAUCUUUUCUGGUGUUCAGAUGUUUUUACAUGCAGAGGUCCUGAGGGAAGGUUUAGUGGGACUGAGUUUAAAAAAAUAUACCUGUGAUACCCCAGUGAGCCUCAAGCUGUGCCUGGCACUGGCAGCUCAUUCACAUGCCCAGGUUCCUGGAGCUGCCAGAGCUGUAAAGGGACUCCAGCUCCCAGAAAGGGUACGUCUAGCUUUUCCUUCUAGGAUGCUGGAGAACAAAGCAGCCAGAUAGGCCUUCCAGGACCCUAAGGAGUAAAAUAACUUGCCAAGGUGGUCCUCAGGUGGCUGUGUUGAGCUUUAGUUUCCUCAUCUGUAGAAUGGGAAGACAACACCUCUGAAUGGGAGGUUGCAAGUAGGGGAUGGUAUAAGGGAAACAGCAUGGAAUGAAAUUUCCUGGCACAAUCAGCCUGGGGAAGCAGCACCCUCAUUGGCAAUGCUCAUGUCACAAAGACUGUGGCAUGUGUGUGACCAACCAUGGAAAUGGGUCUCAGGAGAUAGAUUGGGGCAGAGGACAAGGAGCAUGGUGAGCCCACCAGAGUGGGCCUGCCUUGGGAUGAAAUCAUCCAUCGCUCUUGAGUUCCUGAGGCGCCUUAGGAAUCAGAGAAGCAGAGGAAGAAGGAAAAGUAUUCUGUGUGGCAGGAGGGAUGCACCAUCUUGGCCUGGUGUCUUCUGUGUAGCCACCUGUGGUGGGUGGGGCUGAGUUACUUAUAUCACAGAUGUGACAUGUGCUUGUGUGUGUGUGUGCGUAUGUGCACAGUCCUGCCCUCUUUACCCUGAGCGUGGGCCCUCCUUACAUCCUCAGCAAAUCCAUCACCCAUCACUAUUUGAUGGGGCAACCAGCCAUCUCAAGCCUUGGGAGAGCAGCUGCCACUCUGGGCCUCAGUUUCCCAUCUUUAAUCUGUAGGGUAGCUGAGCAGGGAGGCUAAGCACACCUUAUCAUUUGCAUAGUGUAGGAUUCUCAUGGCAUACCUUGCCCCAGCCAGGGUCUGCGUCUCUCUCUAAAGUUCCCUGUUGUCCCCUCCUAGUGAACCCACCUUAGUGGUUUGGAGAUGGGAAGGGGCUCCAACUUUUGCCUAAAGGAUCCAUCCCUCCAACCCAUAUGGCCACCCAUUUCCCCACCUCACACCCCAUCUAGGACUGGCUCCCUGGGUCAGAGAAGCAGCCCUGGAUGUGUGAUCCCAUGCACGCCCGAGGAUGUUUGGGUUUGGGAAUGUACCAUGAAUCCUGGGGGGUUUUCAGAUGUGAGACAAAACAAGUCUGUUUCCCAGAUGCUGCCCCAAAGAGCUGCAUCUACUGGGUGGUGGAGAGCCAGGAUUCAUGUCACAUCCCCAAAGCUAUUAUUUUCCCUGCUGAAAACAAGUUGGCAGCUGAAAUAGCUCAGGUUCUAGGGACAACUUCCUUUUUAGAAAGAUGGCUAUGGACCAGGAUGGACAGUAACCUAGAACUCCCAUAAGCCCCAGAAGUCUAGAACUGCAGCACCAUGCUUAGACUGUUCCAUUUGCACUGGGUUCUAGGGGCCCCUUCCCCUCACCCACUGUAGUGGACACUAGAAUCCCCCCACAGUGAAGCAGUGUCCUUGCUUCUGUGUCCUUACUUCUCCUAAUAGAAUAUAGAUCAGCAACUCCCUAGGACAUUUUAUCAUUGAUGUGUUCUAGAACUUCAUCUACAGCUAAGCAUGUCUCUAGAACAGUUCCUCUGCUGAAUGUCCUGCUGCCUCAUCUGUAGUUGAGCCCACACAGAAUAUCUUCCUAGACAUUUUAUCUGCUGUGUUCAAGACCUUCAUCUAGAAGAAAUGUUCCAGAUGCUCAUCUAGAACAAAGAAUGACUCCUCAAAAAGUUCACCUGAGGUGUCUAGAACGUCAUCCAUACCAGUCCACAACAAAGCUUGUU